RNAcentral lists this unclassified non-coding RNA (23 nucleotides) under Mus musculus (house mouse). RNAcentral describes it as "oocyte_clustered_small_RNA1859". The record is from RNAcentral. Lineage: Eukaryota; Metazoa; Chordata; Mammalia; Rodentia; Muridae.
UGCCAGUUGACUCUGCCUGACAG